GAGGUAUAGACUGGCUGAAGACAGGAGUUAAUUCUGCAAAUAAUUUUGGGAGUCCCACUAAGUGCCUGGCACUAUUCCAAGCAUAGACGGCAUAGGAUUGCUGAAGCAUGCUUAGGGACACAGACAGCAGCAGGGUUUGUUGCAAGUGUUUGAUUAGUCACAGAGUCUGGCACAAGACAAGGGUGUUCACUAUUUCUUUGCUUCUCCCUCCCCUCCUCCUCCUCACCGUGAACUGUGCUAGGCUUGUGGGUACAAAAAUGAAGAAGCUAUCAUUUCCUCCCCCUUAAUUUCUUAAUAACCUAGAAGGUGAAAUAGACGUGUUACCUACAAUUUUUGUGUGUAUGAGCUAGAAGCUAGAAGGCCCCCAUCUUGGUUCCUCCUCCCUCACAACACUGGGGUGCUGCUGCUUACAAGUUACCCGAUAGGAAUGAAGGCUCAGGAAGGUCACAGGACUUGUCUCUGGCAUGCAGAUAGUAGAAGCAAAACCAGAUCCAAAGCAAGGGCAGUCUGACGCCGAGCUGAGUACCUCUGUCUUGAGAGGUGGGGCAGUGUUUGUCAAGUGAAUACUCACUCAUGGGAUGCGGGAACAAUGUCCAGAACAGUUGUACAAAGGAAAAGGGAGACGGCGAAGAGAGGGAACAGCAGAGGCUGUUUUCUGUGAAUGAGUUCUGCAGAGAAAGAGGACACAGACUCGGUCAGAGAUUCCAGACUCCGCAGAGCAUUGACUUGCCAGAUGAUGGUUUCCAAAUUGAAAGCUGAAAACCGGUUCCUUCUUUCCGGAGGAUUUGGGUCUAUUGUUCUUACUUUUACCGGAUGCCUAAAGGAUAAUCACUUCUUUGUUCUUGUACCAGGGAACACAUUUGGGAGAUGUGCUCAGAUCCACACUUGCCACAUUGUACACACCGUGUCGUACUGGGAAUGGGCACCUCUUGAGUGCACGCACAGUAAGUUUUCUUAUUCUGGCAACACCCCAGCAGACGUCUUCAGAGCCAGGGUUGCGUUACCUGAGGAGUCUAAGCUGAUGGAACAGCACCGUUCGCCUUUCCGGAUGCCCUCUUGCCCUGCCUUUCUCUUUUUCCUUCCUUUAUCUUUCUGUUGACGAUAGCCAGAAGCAGUUCCUUUUGCCUACAACCUGAAGCAACUUAAUGAAUGCAGUAUUAUAUUUAUGGCUUGCAGGCUUUUCCCACUUUCUAAUAUGUAAAGAACAUUUUCCCUAGUGAAUAGAUACAGGUGCAUGUUUUGGUUGCACAGUAUCCCCGUAUGUGGUUGUACUACAUUUAUAUAACUGGAAGGAAGUAAUUGUCAGCACUCAACUCUGAAACCAUUGCCUGGUGAUUAAAAGCUCUUCUUUUUGUCUUUUAUAGACAUUCCUGCAGCAAAUAUUAUUACAUAUGCAUUUCUUUCUAUUUAUUAUUACUUAUGACAAAUCUCUAGAAGUGAAAUUAAUAAAUCAAGGGUUGUACAACUUAAAAUAUUAUGU
RNAcentral lists this long non-coding RNA (1480 nucleotides) under Oryctolagus cuniculus (rabbit). Its description in RNAcentral is "lncRNA (ENSOCUG00000038985.1)". The record is from RNAcentral. Lineage: Eukaryota; Metazoa; Chordata; Mammalia; Lagomorpha; Leporidae.